RNAcentral lists this ribosomal RNA (301 nucleotides) under uncultured bacterium. RNAcentral's name for it is "partial 16S ribosomal RNA". It matches the Rfam family "Bacterial small subunit ribosomal RNA", at positions 509 to 809 of the family's 1533-position model. The record is from RNAcentral.
CAGCCGCCGCGGUAAUACGUAGGUGGCAAGCGUUGUCCGGAAUUAUUGGGCGUAAAGGGCUCGCAGGCGGUUUCUUAAGUCUGAUGUGAAAGCCCCCGGCUCAACCGGGGAGGGUCAUUGGAAACUGGGAAACUUGAGUGCAGAAGAGGAGAGUGGAAUUCCACGUGUAGCGGUGAAAUGCGUAGAGAUGUGGAGGAACACCAGUGGCGAAGGCGACUCUCUGGCUUGUAACUGACGCUGAGGCUCGAAAGCGUGGGGAGCAAACAGGAUUAGAUACCCCCGUAGUCCCUGUCUCUUAUAA